UUGGAGACCAGAUUUUGAAGAUAUCAUGUAUAGCAUGAAAGGUCUUUAAUUUUUUAUCCUAAAAGCAAUCGGGAUAUUUUGCAUUUCGCAUGUUGAGCAAGGCAGUGUGCUAUUUCCACUUUAAUUCUGGAAAAAAAGCUACAUUGAAAAGGAGGAAAAUUGGAUAAUUGAACUGGUCUACUGGAGGGAUGGUGUGGGCCUGAACUGAGACAAGGGCUAUGAGAAUGGAGAAGCAAAGCAACAGACCCAAUCUCUCCUCUGAAGGAGGCAGACUCAGUUGAACUUGGGGAUUCAUUGCACUUUUUUGGGUGAGUGGAGAGACAAGGUCUCUGUUGCCCAGGUG
This 343-nucleotide long non-coding RNA is filed under the name Homo sapiens (human). Its description in RNAcentral is "non-protein coding lnc-EPHA4-5:1". Lineage: Eukaryota; Metazoa; Chordata; Mammalia; Primates; Hominidae. The record is from RNAcentral.